CCUACGGGGGGCUGCAGUGGGGAAUAUUGGGCAAUGGGCGCAAGCCUGACCCAGCAACGCCGCGUGAAGGAAGAAGGCUUUCGGGUUGUAAACUUCUUUUAAGAGGGAAGAGCAGAAGACGGUACCUCUUGAAUAAGCCACGGCUAACUACGUGCCAGCAGCCGCGGUAAUACGUAGGUGGCAAGCGUUGUCCGGAUUUACUGGGUGUAAAGGGCGUGCAGCCGGGAAGACAAGUCAGAUGUGAAAUCCCGCGGCUGAACCGCGGAACUGCAUUUGAAACUGUUUUUCUUGAGUACCGGAGAGGUCAUCGGAAUUCCUUGUGUAGCGGUGAAAUGCGUAGAUAUAAGGAAGAACACCAGUGGCGAAGGCAGAUGACUGGACGGCAACUGACGGUGAGGCGCGAAAGCGUGGGGAGCAAACAGGAUUAGAUACCCGUGUAGUC
This 442-nucleotide ribosomal RNA is filed under the name uncultured bacterium. RNAcentral describes it as "partial 16S ribosomal RNA". It matches the Rfam family "Bacterial small subunit ribosomal RNA", at positions 338 to 795 of the family's 1533-position model. The record is from RNAcentral.